Molecule: ribosomal RNA, 99 nt
Filed under: Drosophila yakuba
Lineage: Eukaryota; Metazoa; Arthropoda; Insecta; Diptera; Drosophilidae
Description: partial 28S ribosomal RNA
Source: RNAcentral
AAGCUUAUCCUUUGCUUGAUGAUUCGAAAUAAAUAAGACCAUUGAGUACUCGUGUGGUACUUGUUUUGUUGGUUUUUGAGGGUUAGCGCGCAACCCAAG